UGGAUCCAGACUUUGAUCAUGGCUCAGGAUGAACGCUAGCUACAGGCUUAACACAUGCAAGUCGAGGGGAAACGACAUUGAAAGCCUGCUUUUGAUGGGCGUCGACCGGCGCACGGGUGAGUAACGCGUAUCCAACCUGCCCACCACUUGGGGAUAACCUUGCGAAAGUAGGACUAAUACCCAAUGACGUCUCUAGAAGACAUCUGAAAGAGAUUAAAGAUUUAUCGGUGAUGGAUGGGGAUGCGUCUGAUUAGCUUGUUGGCGGGGUAACGGCCCACCAAGGCUACGAUCAGUAGGGGUUCUGAGAGGAAGGUCCCCCACAUUGGAACUGAGACACGGUCCAAACUCCUACGGGAGGCAGCAGUGAGGAAUAUUGGUCAAUGGACGAGAGUCUGAACCAGCCAAGUAGCGUGCAGGAUGACGGCCCUAUGGGUUGUAAACUGCUUUUAUAAGGGAAUAAAGUGAGUCUCGUGAGGCUUUUUGCAUGUACCUUAUGAAUAAGGACCGGCUAAUUCCGUGCCAGCAGCCGCGGUAAUACGGAAGGUCCGGGCGUUGUCCGGAUUUAUUGGGUUUAAAGGGAGCGUAGGCCGGAGAUUAAGCGUGUUGUGAAAUGUAGACGCUCAACGUCUGCACUGCAGCGCGAACUGGUUUCCUUGAGUACGCACAAAGUGGGCGGAAUUCGUGGUGUAGCGGUGAAAUGCUUAGGUAUCACGAAGAACUCCGAUUGCGAAGGCAGCUCACUGGAGCGCAACUGACGCUGAGGCUCGAAAGUGCGGGUAUCGAGCAGGAUUAGAUACCCUGGUAGUCCGCACGGUAAACGAUGGAUGCCCGCUGUUGGUCUGAAUAGGUCAGCGGCCAAGCGAAAGCAUUAAGCAUCCCACCUGGGGAGUACGUCGGCAACGGUGCAACUCAAAUGAAUUGACGGA
This 926-nucleotide ribosomal RNA is filed under the name uncultured Bacteroidota bacterium. Its description in RNAcentral is "bacterial SSU rRNA". It matches the Rfam family "Bacterial small subunit ribosomal RNA", at positions 1 to 917 of the family's 1533-position model. The record is from RNAcentral. Lineage: Bacteria; Pseudomonadati; Bacteroidota.